RNAcentral lists this transfer RNA (64 nucleotides) under Cryptolaemus montrouzieri. RNAcentral's name for it is "tRNA-His". The record is from RNAcentral. Lineage: Eukaryota; Metazoa; Arthropoda; Insecta; Coleoptera; Coccinellidae.
AUUUAAAUAGUUUAAGAAAAAUAUUGGUUUUGGGAAUCAAAGAUAUUAAUAAAAAUUUUAAAUU